Molecule: ribosomal RNA, 253 nt
Filed under: uncultured bacterium
Lineage: Bacteria
Description: partial 16S ribosomal RNA
Rfam family: Bacterial small subunit ribosomal RNA
Source: RNAcentral
UACGGAGGGGGCAAGUGUUGUUCGGAAUUACUGGGCGUAAAGGGCGCGCAGGCGGCUUGGCAAGUCGAGUGUGAAAUACCCCAGCUUAACUGGGGAAUGGCGCUCGAAACUACCUCGCUUGAGGGCGGGAGAGGGAAGUGGAACUCUCGGUGUAGGGGUGAAAUCUGUAGAUAUCGAGAGGAACACCGGUGGCGAAGGCGGCUUCCUGGCCCGUACCUGACGCUGAGGCGCGAAAGCGUGGGGAGCAAACAGG